AAUGUAGCUUAUAUUGCAAAAAAUGUUCUUAUAUUAAUAUAAGAAAUAAGAACAUUUUAUUUUUGAAAAAAUGUUCUUAUAUCCAACCCUGGUCGAGCUUAGUGUUACACACUGUGUCAGUUCCAGGCAGUUCCAUCAAACAUUUCUUACAAAUCCUCCAAAACUUGGAAUUUACCUAUGGAAAAUUCCUACUGUGAUAUACGAAAACUUUGAUAGUGCAAACCAGUCUUAAGCCGGUUACAGAUGAGCAAGUUUUCAACAAACAAAACUUGUCAAAGUAAUCUGAGCUGCAUGCAGUUGGUCACUGAUCUAUAGUUGUAAUAAUGUAAUGGGUAAGCCAUGUAAUUCCGAUUUAUCAUCAGUGCCUACAUCCAUAAUUUUUUG
Molecule: non-coding RNA, 384 nt
Organism: Paramuricea clavata
Lineage: Eukaryota; Metazoa; Cnidaria; Anthozoa; Malacalcyonacea; Plexauridae
Source: the annotation of a GenBank genome assembly